CCUACGGGAGGCAGCAGUGAGGAAUAUUGGUCAAUGGACGAGAGUCUGAACCAGCCAAGUAGCGUGAAGGAUGACUGCCCUAUGGGUUGUAAACUUCUUUUAUAUGGGAAUAAAAUGUUCCACGUGUGGGAUUUUGUAUGUACCAUAUGAAUAAGGAUCGGCUAACUCCGUGCCAUCAGCCGCGGUCAUACGGUGGAUCCGAGCGUUAUCCGGAUUUAUUGGGUUUAAAGGGAGCGUAGGUGGGUUGUUAAGUCAGUUGGGAAAGUUUGCGGCUCAACCGUAGAAGUGCAGUUGAGACUGGCAGUCUUGAGUGCGGUAGAGGUGGGAGGAAUUCGUGGUGUAGCGGUGAAAUGCUGAGAGAGCACGAAGAACACAGAUGGCGAAGGCAGCUCACUGGACGGCAACUGACGCUGAGGCGCGAAAGUGGGGGGAUCAAACAGGAUGAGAUACCCAAGUAGUC
Molecule: ribosomal RNA, 460 nt
Filed under: uncultured bacterium
Lineage: Bacteria
Description: partial 16S ribosomal RNA
Rfam family: Bacterial small subunit ribosomal RNA
Source: RNAcentral